GACAGGGUCUACAGGCUACGGUUGCCAUGGUAUUUGGUGAUAAUAUUUUCUACUUGAAAUAAUGCCUUCUCAACCUGCAUUUCAGUUAUUUUAAAUGUUU
This is a long non-coding RNA of Neogale vison (American mink), 100 nucleotides long. RefSeq lists it as uncharacterized. NCBI's taxonomy places the organism in Eukaryota, Metazoa, Chordata, Mammalia, Carnivora, Mustelidae. The transcript is spliced from 3 exons. The record is from RefSeq and is a predicted model, not a curated record.